This is a long non-coding RNA of Ooceraea biroi (clonal raider ant), 2235 nucleotides long. RefSeq lists it as uncharacterized. The record is from RefSeq and is a predicted model, not a curated record. NCBI's taxonomy places the organism in Eukaryota, Metazoa, Arthropoda, Insecta, Hymenoptera, Formicidae.
CUUUUUCGCUUCUUUCAACACCAAAUCAUUUGGGAAAUACGCCUGUAACGUUUUGAAAGUUUGGGAAAUAAUACCCAGAUAACACACACGUUCAAAAUCGGGACAUAAGACAUCUUUUCGACAUCUUUUAGACACUAUAUAUCUUAAAAUGUCGAAACUAAAAAAAUGUCCAGACAAAAUGUGAAAAUGUGAAGCCAAAAAUCUAGAGAUUUUUUGACCCUACAUAACGAAGGCCGUGUUCCAAAAUUCACUGCCAGCACUGAAAAGCUAUAGUGUACGUGACAUAAACUAUAGAGUUUCAGUACUGGCAGUGAAUUUUGAAACACAUCCGUAAAAUGUUUAUAAUCAAGCAGAUUUUGCAGCAUCGGUGCAAUUUAUACAAAACCAUUUGGACGAUAUGGAUCCGAAGAAGGGCGUUUCUUGGGCGACUGUUUGCUACAUGUUUGGAGAGGUCUAUAACAUAAUCUAUAACAUUACUUCAUUUUAUAUGUUCAUAUGUUUAUCCCACUUCAUAAAUGUUUCUCAAUGUAGGUUCAAUACGGUGGUAGGGUUACGGAUGAUUUCGACAAACGUUUAUUAACAACUUUCACACAUGUCUGGUUCUGCGACGUACUAUUACGACCAGGGUUUGAAUUUUAUUGAGGAUACAGAGUGCCACAAAUAAGAAAUCUUCAGGGAUACGUAGAUUAUAUUGACGGUUUAGAAGCUACCGACACCCCGGAAGUCUUUGGAUUACAUCCAAACGCCGACAUUACUUAUCAGAUCAACACGGCGAAAGGAAUAUUUGAUACGAUUCUCAAUGUACAGCCAAAAGAGGGUGGCAAAACUAGAGAGAGGCCGUUGUAUAUAAAUUAGCAAAUGAUAUGUUGUCUAAAUUACCCAAACAAUACAAUUCUUUCAAAGUGAAGGAAGCACUUCAAAGAAUGGGACCGUUACUGCCGAUGAACAUAUUUUUAAGGCAAGAAAUAGACCGUAUUUCGAGGGUUAUUAAAGAAGUACGAAGCACUCUAACGGAUUUGAAACUAUAGCUAUCGACGGUACUAUUGUGAUGAGCCAAGGUUUGCGAAAAUCGUUAGAUGCAAUGUAUGACGCACGCGUACCAGAAAAAUGGUUGAAAAUAUCGUAGGAGUCAGCGACUUUGGGCUUUUGGUACACAGAGCUUUUUUGGAAAGGGACUAUCAGUUCAGACAGUGGUGCGCUCAUGACCGUCCGAAAGUAUUUUGGAUGACUGGAUUUUUUAAUCCACAGGGAUUUUUAACAGCAAUGAGAGGUGAGAAAUCAUGCUAAUGAAAAAUUAACGAAUAUACUUACAUAUAUUUACAUAUAUUUAAAAAUUAUUCAAUUAAUCGAGAGAUUUUAAAAGAAGAUAAAAGUAGUUAUGCAAGACAGAAUAAUAACUAACAGCUAUAAGAAAUUUCGUGGUUCUUUUUUAAUCUUUCAACUAGAUUAAAAUACAAUAAUUUUAGGAAGUGACUAGAGCGCACAAGGGUUGGGCUUUAGAUUCCGCGGUCUUGCAAAAUGUAACCACACGCUUUAAUAAAGAGGACAUUAAAAGUCAACCACAAGAAGGAGUUUAUGUUCAUGGUUUGUUUCUGGAAGGUGCAUCGCUCGAUCGGAAAGCGGGGAAACUCGUUGAGAGUAGGCCGAAAGUUCUCUAUGAACAAAUGCCGGUUAUUUUCGCAAUAAAUACCACCGCCGGCAAAGAUCCGAAAUUAUACGAAUGUCCUAUAUAUAGAAAACCUCAGAGAACGGAUGUGAAAUAUAUAGACUCAAUUGAUUUCGAAACAGAUUAUAUAAUCCCCGACACUGGACUCUCCGAGGUGUAGCUUUAUUAUGUGAUAUUAAAUAAAUAAUUAAAUAACAAGUGAUAAUCAAAGAUUACUCAUAUUAGAUUUAGGAACAAGUUUUCCAAGUUUGCUCCUUUUUCGAAGAAAACAAUAAACAUAAUGUAGAAUUAUGAAUGUCGGAGCGAUUGAUCUACUGUUAGAUGAGAUCACGAGUAAAAGAUUGAAAGAGAGAGAAAGAGUGAGUGCCGAAACGAUUGAUCUAAUUGUGUGAAGCGGUGUGUGACUUAUUUAUGAUUGGUUUGUGAUUUUAGCAGCAUCGUGUAAAAAGCUAAGCAUUAUGUAAGAAGCAUCAUAUAAAAAGCUAAGCUGGCAAACGCAAUGUAUGAAAGCGAAUGUAAUACAUGAAAGUGAAUGCGGUGCAUGAAAGUAAAUGCGACGUGUGACAAAA